RNAcentral lists this transfer RNA (73 nucleotides) under Cordylochernes scorpioides. RNAcentral describes it as "tRNA-Thr". The record is from RNAcentral. Lineage: Eukaryota; Metazoa; Arthropoda; Arachnida; Pseudoscorpiones; Chernetidae.
GUCCAGGGAUGGGAAUCGAACCCACUGUGUUCCGCUUACCGGGCAGAUGCCAUGUCCACUAGGCUACCCUGCA